RNAcentral lists this ribosomal RNA (253 nucleotides) under uncultured bacterium. Its description in RNAcentral is "partial 16S ribosomal RNA". It matches the Rfam family "Bacterial small subunit ribosomal RNA", at positions 524 to 776 of the family's 1533-position model. The record is from RNAcentral.
UACGUAGGGUGCAAGCGUUAAUCGGAAUUACUGGGCGUAAAGCGUGCGCAGGCGGUGAUGUAAGACAGGUGUGAAAUCCCCGGGCUUAACCUGGGAACUGCCAUUGAUACUGCUUCACUUGAGUGCAGUUGAGGUGGGUGGAAUUCCAUGUGUAACGGUGAAAUGCUUAGAUAUAUGGAGGAACACCGAUAACGAAGGUAACUCACUAAACUGUAACUGACGCUGAGGUACGAAAGCGUGGGGAGCAAACGGG